GGUUCAAUUCGAUUGACACGCGAAACUUACCACCUUUGACAUCGUAGGAACCCUUUAGAGAUAGAGGGGUGCUCGAAAGAGAGCCGUAACACAGGUGCUGCAUUGGCUGUCGUCAGCUCGUGUCGUGAGAUGUUGGUUAAGUCCCGCAACGAGCGCAACCCUUGUCAUUAGUUGCUACAUUCAGUUUGGGCACUCUAAUGAGACUGCCGGUGACAAGCCGGAGGAAGGUGGGGAUGACGUCAAGUCCUCAUGGCCCUUAUAGGUGGGGCUACACACGUCAUACAAUGGCUGGUACAAAGGGUUGCCAACCCGCGAGGGGGAGCCAAUCCCAUAAAGCCAGUCGUAGUCCGGAUCGUAGUCUGCAACUCGACUACGUGAAGUCGGAAUCGCUAGUAAUCGUGAAUCAGAAUGUCACGGUGAAUACGUUCCCGGGCCUU
RNAcentral lists this ribosomal RNA (437 nucleotides) under uncultured Rhodoferax sp. RNAcentral describes it as "bacterial SSU rRNA". It matches the Rfam family "Bacterial small subunit ribosomal RNA", at positions 943 to 1382 of the family's 1533-position model. Lineage: Bacteria; Pseudomonadati; Pseudomonadota; Betaproteobacteria; Burkholderiales; Comamonadaceae. The record is from RNAcentral.